CUUUCUUUGCUGGCGACCGGCGCACGGGUGAGUAACACGUAUCCAACCUGCCCUUUACUCGGGGAUAGCCUUUCGAAAGAAAGAUUAAUACCCGAUAGCAUAAUGAUUCCGCAUGGUUUCAUUAUUAAAGGAUUCCGGUAGACGAUGGGGAUGCGUUCCAUUAGAUAGUAGGCGGGGUAACGGCCCACCUAGUCUUCGAUGGAUAGGGGUUCUGAGAGGAAGGUCCCCCACAUUGGAACUGAGACACGGUCCAA
This 254-nucleotide ribosomal RNA is filed under the name uncultured bacterium. RNAcentral describes it as "partial 16S ribosomal RNA". It matches the Rfam family "Bacterial small subunit ribosomal RNA", at positions 79 to 334 of the family's 1533-position model. The record is from RNAcentral.